Molecule: ribosomal RNA, 468 nt
Filed under: uncultured bacterium
Lineage: Bacteria
Description: partial 16S ribosomal RNA
Rfam family: Bacterial small subunit ribosomal RNA
Source: RNAcentral
GACGAACGCUGGCGGCGUGCUUAACACAUGCAAGUCGAACGGACAGGCCCUGCUUUUGUGGGGUGCUCGAGUGGCGAACGGGUGAGUAACACGUGUGUAACCUGCCCUUGACUUUCGGAUAACUUCUGGAAACAGGGGCUAAUACCGGAUAGGAGCUCCUGCUCCGUGGUGUGGGUUGGAAAGUUUCGGCGGUUGGGGAUGGACUCGCGGCUUAUGAGCUUGUUGGUGGGGUAGGGGCUUACCAAGGCUUUGACGGAUAGCCGACCUUAGAGGGGGACCGGCGACAUGAGGACUGAGAGACGGACCAGACGCCUACGGGAGGCAGCAGUGGGGAAUAUUACACAAUAGGCGGAAGCCUGAGGCAACAACGCCGCGUGCGGAAAGACGGCCUACGGGUUAAAAACCACUUUCGCCUGUAACGAAGCGUGAGUGACGGUAAUGAAUAAAGAAGCACCGGCUAACUACGUG